GAUCCUGGCUCAGGAUGAACGCUGGCGGCGUGCUUAACACAUGCAAGUCGAACGAUGAAGCCCAGCUUGCUGGGUGGAUUAGUGGCGAACGGGUGAGUAACACGUGAGUAACCUGCCCCUGACUCUGGGAUAAGCCCGGGAAACUGGGUCUAAUACCGGAUAUGACCAUGGGACGCAUGUCUUGUGGUGGAAAGAUUUAUCGGUUGGGGAUGGACUCGCGGCCUAUCAGCUUGUUGGUGAGGUAAUGGCUCACCAAGGCGACGACGGGUAGCCGGCCUGAGAGGGUGACCGGCCACACUGGGACUGAGACACGGCCCAGACUCCUACGGGAGGCAGCAGUGGGGAAUAUUGCACAAUGGGCGCAAGCCUGAUGCAGCGACGCCGCGUGAGGGAUGACGGCCUUCGGGUUGUAAACCUCUUUCAGUAGGGAAGAAGCGAGAGUGACGGUACCUGCAGAAGAAGCGCCGGCUAACUACGUGCCAGCAGCCGCGGUAAU
RNAcentral lists this ribosomal RNA (496 nucleotides) under uncultured bacterium. RNAcentral describes it as "bacterial SSU rRNA". It matches the Rfam family "Bacterial small subunit ribosomal RNA", at positions 15 to 524 of the family's 1533-position model. The record is from RNAcentral.